UAUCAGGUUGGUGCAAAAGUAAUUGCAGUUUUUGUCAUUACUUUCAAUGGCAAAAUUGCAAUUACUUUUGCACCAA
RNAcentral lists this microRNA precursor (76 nucleotides) under Saimiri boliviensis boliviensis (Bolivian squirrel monkey). Its description in RNAcentral is "miRNA (ENSSBOG00000003025.1)". The record is from RNAcentral. Lineage: Eukaryota; Metazoa; Chordata; Mammalia; Primates; Cebidae.